RNAcentral lists this ribosomal RNA (1278 nucleotides) under Triticum aestivum (bread wheat). RNAcentral's name for it is "partial small subunit ribosomal RNA". The record is from RNAcentral. Lineage: Eukaryota; Viridiplantae; Streptophyta; Magnoliopsida; Poales; Poaceae.
AUGGCCGCGGAGCAGCAACACUCUCCUGCCCUUGCCCUUCCCGGCGGCCGCUACCCCGACGAUCUGCUCAGCCUCGAGCUCCCCUCAGAUCCCGGUCCCACGCCCCAGCGUCCCCAUGAUACACGCGAGGAGGAGGAGGAAGAAGAGGGGGAGCCUCUCGACAUUAGCAUACGUGACUACCUGCUGGGCACUUCAGAGCCACCUGUCAUCCGCUGGGAAGAGUUCGACAUCGAUGAUCCCGAGUACACAAGCGAGGACGACGAGCAUGCACUGGCGACGGACGACGAGGAGACGAAUUGCCCAGGGAAGAACUUCCCCAGGAAAGAAGCAAGGCGAGUGGACGCAGCGUGGAUGGAGGCAUACACCAAAGGGAACAUUGAAUACCAGAGGAUGUGUAAUGAGAUUCUAGCGAGUGGAGAUGAGAAUGCCCUUCUCCCCGCUUGUCCUCUCAAAGUGUUCCCUGAGGCGUCAGGCCUGUGCAUCAGGAGGGAUCACUGCCACCACCGUGAAUACAAAACCCAUGUUACUUCCAGCACUAAAUCAACUCUUGGGUAUCGUGAUCCGGGGAAGAUGAUACAGAUCUUUGGACUGAAAGUAACUUGCUCUGAGCCCUAUCCGGCUAGUGUCUAUGGAGUAGUUGCUAUCCGGGAUGACUUGGAGCCACUACGGAAUCCUGUCUUUAACCGUCCCUGCAGAGACGACGCUCUCGUGAUUGACCAGGAUUCCCUUGCAUUGCCUCUUUGUAGCCCUUGUCGUGGAAUGUACAUAUGGGAGAAGGCAUUACUAGAAGUCGAUCUUUGGGAAAAGUGCGAAGGAGAUGGAUCAUCCGACAAGCGAUUACUUCUUGCGUAUGCUGAGAUUGAGGGGCAGUAUGAUUUAGAUUUGAUGAUAGAUGGGCAGAUAACAGGCGACCGUUGCAGCCUGGUCAUGGACUACCUGUUGCUUGCAGGGAGUGUGGAGGUUGUGAUACAGGUCUUUGCAAAGGUUGAGCACCCUCACCAUCUGCGAUUCGCCGCAUACAUCGGUGGCUUUGCUCGUGAGAUUGUGCUGUUUGAUGGCGAGUUCUCUGGUGACGAGAAGCUGCUCCAGCAUGUCGUCGCGGUGAAGGCCAAGGGGAAACUGGAUGUUUGCUUGGAACUGGAGGAAUCGCUGUUUUGGUGGACUUUUGAGCAAAGAGCUGUUGGAGCUGUUAGGUCUCCUGACGAUUCGGUGUUGAAGUAUGGCCAAUUCGAUGUGAGGGUGCUUUUUGCUCCCAAGGACUUCACUGUGGUUGGCUGA